AUGGGGAACGCGAGCGCCAGGGCGGUGGAGAACGGCCACGCGGCGGCGCCGAUGGAGCAGGUGGCCGUGGCCCCCGUCGGCGGGAGCUCCGCGGAGGCCGCGGCGCCGCCGGACGCCGUGAUGCGGGAGCUCCCUCCUCCGGUCCCCUACGUCUUCGCGCCGCAGGUUCCAGUAGCUCCGCUGCAGAUACCAAAUGAAUUUUCACCUGUUUUCAACCAUUCAUGGAUGAAUGGCUCGGAUGAAUCCACCAACAAUAACCCCCCGGAGAUUGAAAUUCCAACUUUGAUUACAUGGAGUCAAGGAGGAAACGAGGUGUUUGUGGAAGGAUCAUGGGAUAACUGGACAUCAAGGAAGGUGUUAGAGAGGUCAGGGAAAGAUCACGCUGUGUUGUUAGUUCUGCCAUCUGGAAUAUAUCAUUACAGGAUGAUUGUUGAUGGGGUGCCGAGAUAUGUGUCCGAACUACCUCAUGUGACUGAUGAAAGAGGGCAGGUGGCCAACCUCCUUGAUGUCCAUGAGUAUAUCCCAGAUAGUCUUGACAGCGUGGCGGAGUUUGACGCGCCCCCGUCGCCUGAACACAGCUACAACAUGGAGUUCCCAACCGACGAGGAGCUUACCAAGCAGGAUCCGCCCGCUCUUCCACCUCAGCUUCUCAUGACUGCCCUUGGCGGUACCGAUCACUCGGACGAGCUCGCUCCGAAGGCGAAGCCGCAGCAUGUCGUCCUCAACCAUCUGUUCAUCGAGAAAGGGUGGGGGGCGCAGUCUCUGCUCGCCCUCGGACUCACUCACCGGUUCCAGUCUAAGUACGUGAACUUCGUGCUGUACAAACCGCUGGUGAGGAGGUGA
RNAcentral lists this ribosomal RNA (843 nucleotides) under Triticum aestivum (bread wheat). Its description in RNAcentral is "partial small subunit ribosomal RNA". The record is from RNAcentral. Lineage: Eukaryota; Viridiplantae; Streptophyta; Magnoliopsida; Poales; Poaceae.